RNAcentral lists this ribosomal RNA (468 nucleotides) under uncultured bacterium. Its description in RNAcentral is "partial 16S ribosomal RNA". It matches the Rfam family "Bacterial small subunit ribosomal RNA", at positions 28 to 507 of the family's 1533-position model. The record is from RNAcentral.
GACGAACGCUGGCGGCGUGCUUAACACAUGCAAGUCGAACGGAAAGGCCCUGCUUUUGUGGGGUGCUCGAGUGGCGAACGGGUGAGUAACACGUGAGUAACCUGCCCUUGACUUUGGGAUAACUUCAGGAAACUGGGGCUAAUACCGGAUAGGAGCUCCUGCUGCAUGGUGGGGGUUGGAAAGUUUCGGCGGUUGGGGAUGGACUCGCGGCUUAUCAGCUUGUUGGUGGGGUAGUGGCUUACCAAGGCUUUGACGGGUAGCCGGCCUGAGAGGGUGACCGGCCACAUUGGGACUGAGAUACGGCCCAGACUCCUACGGGAGGCAGCAGUGGGGAAUAUUGCACAAUGGGCGGAAGCCUGAGGCAGCAACGCCGCGUGCGGGAUGACGGCCUUCGGGUUGUAAACCGCUUUCGCCUGUGACGAAGCGUGAGUGACGGUAAUGGGUAAAGAAGCAACGGCUAACUACGUG